GGGAUGUAGUUCAAUGGCAGAACUUCAGCUUCCCAAGCUGAUAGCGCGGGUUCGAUUCCCGUCAUCCC
This 68-nucleotide transfer RNA is filed under the name Microcella alkaliphila. It matches the Rfam family "tRNA". From Rfam's summary of the family: Transfer RNA (tRNA) molecules are approximately 80 nucleotides in length. Lineage: Bacteria; Bacillati; Actinomycetota; Actinomycetes; Micrococcales; Microbacteriaceae. RNAcentral also lists the same sequence under 4 other names. The record is from RNAcentral.